RNAcentral lists this long non-coding RNA (742 nucleotides) under Homo sapiens (human). RNAcentral describes it as "HSALNT0228194". The record is from RNAcentral. Lineage: Eukaryota; Metazoa; Chordata; Mammalia; Primates; Hominidae.
AAGUGAUUCAGUCAGGAGGGCUUGGCCCUUAAGGAAUGAAUUCAUGCCUUAUAAAGGGGUAGAGGGAACUAACUUAGGCCCUUUUGCCCUUCCAACUUCCACAUAUGAGGAUACAGCAUUCAUGCCCUCCAGAGGACACAAGGUACCACCUUAGAAGCAAGGAACAGAGCCCCUUACCAGACACAAAAUGUGCCUGUGCCUUGACCCUGGACUCCUCAGCCUCCAGAACGAAAAACUGAAAAAAAAAAAUUCCAAAUGAAGAAAAACAGUUGAUCCUAGACUCAUUGCCCAGAGGAAGACUAUGAACAUUCCACAUGAAGAAAAACAGUGGCUCCUAGACUCAUUGCCCAGAGGAAGACUAUGAACAUUCCACAUGAAGAAAAACAGUUGAUCCUAGACUCAUUGCCCAGAGGAGGACUAUGAACAUUCCAAAUGAAGAAAAACAGUGGCUCCUAGACUCAUUGCCCAGAGGAAGACUAUGAACAUUCCACAUGAAGAAAAACAGUUGAUCCUAGACUCAUUGCCCAGAGGAGGACUAUGAACAUUUUAGCACGUCUCCCUCCCAGGUUUCCUAGAAUAGAUGUCUGUACAUAGUUAAUAAAAACAUAUAUUCAAGUUUUGCAGCUUUUUGUUCCACUUUACAUUUUAAGUUGAACGUUUACACUUCCCAUUCCAAGAUCUUCAGAAACAUGUUUAGAAACAGAAGAGUAUCCCAACAACAGUCUGUUUAACCUCUUCCCCU